Molecule: long non-coding RNA, 724 nt
Filed under: Bos taurus (domestic cattle)
Lineage: Eukaryota; Metazoa; Chordata; Mammalia; Artiodactyla; Bovidae
Description: long non-coding RNA NONBTAT005643
Source: RNAcentral
AGAAUUAUCUAGUAUCAUUUUAACGAAUGCGAGUUUUAAUUUCGUUGCAUCAUUUGUUGUUACUCCAUUACUAUAAACAGUACCAAGCAAUGAGAAGAUUAUCCAGAACUAAGUUGCAUGCAGAUUUCAGAGUUUGAAACAGUUUAUAAAUAACCUGUUUUUUUCUUGGUCUUUAUUAUCAAGUAAAUUCUGCCAUUUUAUAGAGUAUUCUGUUACAGUAAUUUGGAAUCUUACAGGAUAUACUUUAAAGUCUUCUGAGUAAAUCUGUAUUAUAAAGGUCUGUCCUUAUUACUCGACAGUCAGGAAUUGAAUGUGUAUCUUUUUUGGCAAAUGAGACAAUUGUAUUCAAUCUUUUUUUUUCCUAACAGAUUUUUGAAAGUAGAAUUGGUGGAUUUUCCUUAGCUAUAUAUUUCUAUGCUGAAUUCGUUGUGUUCUGCAUUCAUCUAGGCUGAGCUGGAAUAUUUGCAUCAUACAUUUUCUAGUAUUUUUCAGUAUUGAUAGUCUAUAAUGACCUUGUAGUAUUUUUUCCAAGCAUACUACUUUGUUUUAUGAUAAGGUACACUGUGGGCGGAAUAUUUCUGAUACUUCUCAGGUUAUUGUUCAAGUACCAUAAUUUCUAAUGUACUGUUUUAUCCGUAGCUUUUUUUAUUGUUGUUAUGUAUUGGAAUGAAAUUUGAUCAAAUAUUAUGAUUACGGUGAGUUCUGUAUCAGUUACUGGUAAUGU